GGGUACCACACGUGCGCACAUCCUGGUUCAUCCUGGAAACCCUCGCCGCCACCCUCUUUGGGGAAAGACACCACUACCACCCAUGUGUCUCGUGUUGCGGCUGUUCCUUGCGGCGGCGCUCGUUCUUUGGCGUCGACGAUGAGGGGAUGGACGGAUCUGGUAUGGUGUUCCUGCUAGACGCCGUCGGCAGGUUAGUCCGCGCAGAUCUAUGAAAAAGCUUUUGGGAUUUCCUGGGCAAAGUUGCAUCACACGCAGGAGAACCCUAAUGAGCUGGUGGCCUUUAUGCCGGUGAUUGCCGUGGUUUUUUCAUAUUCCCGCUGAGAGAGGAGUUCGCUGACAACCUUGAGCAGCUAGAUCUGGUUCCCCUCGUUUUCCUUUCAGACAACGUACUCGGUCUUGUUGUUCCUGCUGAUUGAAAUACUGGGUUUGGUGUCACUGAAAAGGUCAAAGAAGAUCGCACAGGUAGAGCGCGGGAAGGUGUGCGCCGUCGCGAUGAUGCAUCUCCAAUGAGUUUGGCUCAGUCGAUCGAUAGAGUCAAUCCAGAGGCCCCUGGCUGGACUAAAAGAUGCAUGUACUCAUGGAAUUAUAUCAGCGAGAGGAGGUGCAUCAAAAAAUGGUGUAGGCGGAAGUUCCAGUGAACCAGAAGAUGAGGAAAGGAAAGAACGUGUAGACAGCUUAGCUGCAGUAGCACUUGCUGUAGUCGACCAAGCCAUAGACAAUCCAAAACUCUUCAAAGGUAUAUUCGAGCAAGUGAGGGGUCUCCUAUCAAGACUUGGAGUGGAAGGAUACAUCUGAUCUGGUGCAGCACAUGGAGGUCAAGGACACGGGAGCAUCAACCCCACACGCACGGGAGAUGGUGAGGAUGGCAUCAUUUGGGAUGAGCUAGAGAACGAAAGCCAGGAAGCUGCACAAUGGAAGCUGAACAGCAAAACGGUUAUGUGUCGGUUAAUUGGCAUAUUGGAUACAGCUAUAGUAGUUGAUGAUGAAGAUGGCAACACGGUGAUUAACUACGGUAAAGCACAUGGUUCCAGUGCAGAAGCUGCAAGUGCAGAUGCAGAUAAUACAUCAAGGAGUGGAUGGGGUGACAAGUACCCUCCAUCGAUUGGGCUAUACAUACAGUCGUCUGAUCAUGACAUUUUCAAGUUCAAUGUGAACAUGAUGGAAUGUGGAGAGGACGUUCUCAAGAACACUUCCAUCCCAUAUUGGCGGUGGCAUCUGGUCAGGACCUGAAGGAUGAGCUCACUCUCGGUGGGGAGUUGACAUUGAAUUUGUGGAGGUGCAUCCAUCACAUGCUUAGUCAGAAGGAGAAGAUAAUCUACUGCGGGUGGCUUGAUAGGUUUAGGGGGAUUUUUGAUCCAUGUUUUGUUGCAAGAAGAGCUUUGCAGGGAUGCUGGUGAAACUAACUGGGAUUACAUUAGCACUAUGAUGCACCCUGAUGUGAUGGGAUGUAGAAUUGAUUGGGUGAAGAAGUUCAUGUUCCUGGUGAAUUUCAUGGAUUGUUGGUCAUUGUACAUUCUGGAUACGGAGAAGAAAAUUAUGAUAGUCCAUGAAAUGACUGAGACCGAUCCGGCGUGUGAGAUGAAAAUCAAACAUGAGGCUUUAGCCAAGAAGUUCCAACAUAGGUUCUGCACCUUAUUCAACGACAUGUUCGGUGCUGGCUUGGUUGAGACCCGUGGAUUGUCGUUUGUGUAUCCGUUGGUGGCUCAACAUGGGCAAUGCAGCAGACAGUGGAGUGUAUAUCUUGCACUACUUCGUCGAGUUCAUCAGACUACCUACAAUCAACACUAACCCAGGCUCAGAUCGAGCACUUGCGCAAGAAGUUUGCCUACGAAAUAGUGACCAUGAAGGGAAACAAUGGGGAUAUUCCGGAGCUCUUAUACGACAUAAUCAUUGACUGAAGUGAAGGCGGUGGUACUCUGAGAGUGAGUGCAGUCAGGCAAGAUCUUUUGGUUGUGCUUGUGAUAAACCCUAGUUUGACACGAGUGAGUUGGCGUGCCAUUUUGCAUCACAAAAUCCCCAGCCAGAGUAAUGUUAUGUUGUACCUUGUAAGGAUUAAGUUUGCACUAUCUAUAUUUGAGGAACAAGCUUGGGAAAAGUUUUUUCAAACGGAGGAAGUACUUAAUUUGAUGUAUUGUUCGCAUGCGUGUGCUAAA
Molecule: RNA transcript, 2153 nt
Organism: Triticum dicoccoides
Lineage: Eukaryota; Viridiplantae; Streptophyta; Magnoliopsida; Poales; Poaceae
Exons: 9
Source: RefSeq, a predicted model, not a curated record